Molecule: ribosomal RNA, 436 nt
Filed under: uncultured bacterium
Lineage: Bacteria
Description: bacterial SSU rRNA
Rfam family: Bacterial small subunit ribosomal RNA
Source: RNAcentral
GGGAGGCAGCAGUGAGGAAUAUUGGACAAUGGGCGCAAGCCUGAUCCAGCCAUGCCGCGUGAGUGAUGAAGGCCUUAGGGUUGUAAAGCUCUUUCGCUCGGGACGAUAAUGACGGUACCGAGAUAAGAAGCCCCGGCUAACUUCGUGCCAGCAGCCGCGGUAAUACGAAGGGGGCUAGCGUUGUUCGGAAUUACUGGGCGUAAAGCGCGUGUAGGCGGGUCUUUAAGUCAGGGGUGAAAUGCCAAGGCUCAACCUUGGAACUGCCUUUGAUACUGGAGACCUUGAGUCCGGGAGAGGUGAGUGGAAUUGCGAGUGUAGAGGUGAAAUUCGUAGAUAUUCGCAAGAACACCAGUGGCGAAGGCGGCUCACUGGCCCGGAACUGACGCUGAGAUGCGAAAGCGUGGGGAGCAAACAGGAUUAGAUACCCUUGUAGUCG